RNAcentral lists this ribosomal RNA (497 nucleotides) under uncultured Glomeromycotina. RNAcentral describes it as "partial small subunit ribosomal RNA". It matches the Rfam family "Eukaryotic small subunit ribosomal RNA", at positions 591 to 1092 of the family's 1831-position model. Lineage: Eukaryota; Fungi; Glomeromycota. The record is from RNAcentral.
CCAAUAGCGUAUAUUAAAGUUGUUGCAGUUAAAAAGCUCGUAGUUGAAUUUCAGGCCUGGCUGGACGGUCCGCCCUUCGGGUGAGUACUGUCUGUGGUCGGGUCCUACCUUCUGGCGAAGCGUCAUGGCCUUAACCGGCCGUGGCGGGGAACCAGGACUUUUACUGUGAAAAAAUUAGAGUGUUCAAAGCAGGCAAUCGCUUGGAUACAUUAGCAUGGAAUAAUGGAAUAGGACAAUGGUUCUAUUUGUUGGUUUCUAGGACCGUUGUAAUGAUUAAUAGGGAUAGUUGGGGGCAUUAGUAUUCAAUUGUCAGAGGUGAAAUUCUUGGAUUUAUUGAAGACUAACUACUGCGAAAGCAUUUGCCAAGGAUGUUUUCAUUAAUCAAGAACGAAAGUUAGGGGAUCGAAGACGAUCAGAUACCGUCGUAGUCUUAACCAUAAACUAUGCCGACUAGGAAUCGGGCGAUGUUGACAAAAUGACGCGCUCGGCGCCUCAUG